AUUGAACGCUGGCGGCAGGCCUAACACAUGCAAGUCGAACGGUAGCACAGAGGAGCUUGCUCCUCGGGUGACGAGUGGCGGACGGGUGAGUAAUGUCUGGGGAUCUGCCCGAUAGAGGGGGAUAACCACUGGAAACGGUGGCUAAUACCGCAUAACGUCGCAAGACCAAAGAGGGGGACCUUCGGGCCUCUCACUAUCGGAUGAACCCAGAUGGGAUUAGCUAGUAGGCGGGGUAACGGCCCACCUAGGCGACGAUCCCUAGCUGGUCUGAGAGGAUGACCCGCCACACUGGGACUGAGACACGGUCCAGACGCCUACGGGAGGCAGCAGUGGGGAAUAUUGCACAAUGGGCGCAAGCCUGAUGCAGCCAUGCCGCGUGUAUGAAGAAGGCCUUCGGGUUGUAAAGUACUUUCAGCGGGGAGGAAGGCGAUGUGGUUAAUAACCGCAUUGAUUGACGUUACCCGCAGAAGAAGCACCGGCUAACUCCGUGCCAGCCGCCGCAGUAA
Molecule: ribosomal RNA, 506 nt
Filed under: uncultured bacterium
Lineage: Bacteria
Description: partial 16S ribosomal RNA
Rfam family: Bacterial small subunit ribosomal RNA
Source: RNAcentral